This 297-nucleotide small RNA is filed under the name Pseudomonas sp. FeS53a. RNAcentral describes it as "Pseudomonas sRNA P34". It matches the Rfam family "Pseudomonas sRNA P34", at positions 1 to 317 of the family's 399-position model. The record is from Rfam by way of RNAcentral. Lineage: Bacteria; Pseudomonadati; Pseudomonadota; Gammaproteobacteria; Pseudomonadales; Pseudomonadaceae.
CCGCCCAGUGCACCCCCGACGCCCGCCUCCAGAGUGCCGCCGGCGAAGGCGCCGCCACUGGCGAGGCAGAGGGAGAGGAGAAGGACCGAGGAUUGCUUCAUGGAGGUGACGCCUCUGUAGGGAACGUGGGGCGAUAUGUGCCACGGCGAAGCGGCAUGCGGAAGCCCUUGCCGACGAGUUGCGCGGCUUUUUUCACAUUCCCUAAGUAUUUGUUUUUGCGGGAGAACUUGCGGUGUCUGGCGCUGUCUGAGGCUUAUUCCGACAUACCGUUUCCGGUGCAUCCAUGCUGGCACCGCG